This 538-nucleotide ribosomal RNA is filed under the name uncultured bacterium. Its description in RNAcentral is "bacterial SSU rRNA". It matches the Rfam family "Bacterial small subunit ribosomal RNA", at positions 8 to 523 of the family's 1533-position model. The record is from RNAcentral.
AGAGUUUGAUCCUGGCUCAGAACGAACGCUGGCGGCGUGCUUAACACAUGCAAGUCGAACGGGAUCCAGAGCUUGCUCUGGUGAGAGUGGCGCACGGGUGAGUAACGCGUGGAUAACCUGCCCUGGUAUCCGGAAUAACAUCUCGAAAGGGGUGCUAAUACCGGAUAAGCCUACGGAGCCCUCGGUCUCUGCAGGAAAAGGUGGCCUCUAUUUAUAAGCUACCGUAUCAGGAUGGGUCCGCGUACCAUUAGCUAGUUGGUGGGGUAAUGGCCUACCAAGGCGACGAUGGUUAGCUGGUCUGAGAGGAUGAUCAGCCACACUGGAACUGAGACACGGUCCAGACUCCUACGGGAGGCAGCAGUGGGGAAUUUUGCGCAAUGGGGGAAACCCUGACGCAGCAACGCCGCGUGAGUGAUGAAGGCUUUCGGGUCGUAAAGCUCUGUCAGAGGGGAAGAACCGCCGGGUGGCUAAUACCUGCCUGGUCUGACGGUACCCUCAAAGGAAGCACCGGCUAACUCCGUGCCAGCAGCCGCGGUAA